This 271-nucleotide unclassified non-coding RNA is filed under the name Borreliella valaisiana. RNAcentral describes it as "partial contains 5S-23S ribosomal RNA intergenic spacer and 23S ribosomal RNA". The stretch from base 143 to 271 matches the Rfam family "Bacterial large subunit ribosomal RNA", at positions 1 to 129 of the family's 2925-position model. Lineage: Bacteria; Pseudomonadati; Spirochaetota; Spirochaetia; Spirochaetales; Borreliaceae. The record is from RNAcentral.
UUUAUACAUGUUCAUGUUUUUGAAUGUUUUAUUCAAAUAAUGUAAAAAAUAAAAUAGAUAUUGACAUGGAUUGAACAAAAGAUAUAUAUUAUUUUAUGUUGCAUAAACAAAUUGGCAAAAUAGAGAUGGAAGAUAAAAAUAUGGUCAAAGUAAUAAGAGUCUAUGGUGAAUGCCUAGGAGCUUUAAGGCGAAGAAGGUCGUGGUAAGCUGCGAAAAGCUUGGGGGAGAAGCAAACAUUUAUUGAUCCCAAGAUUACCGAAUGGAGUAAUCC